GCAAUCAAUGCAUACAUUAGAUUUUAAAUUUAAAAAUAGUGAAGACGUAAUAAAGAGGCACAGAGAGUACUUUACCUAACCUUCUUAUUAAACAGUUUUUAAGUUUGAAUAUGGAUUUGGUACAAUAGCUGACAUAAGGGCUUCGGAUGAUAAGAUAAUUCCAACAUAUUACAACAAUCAUCUGCUUCCGUAGCUCAGGAUUUCGAUAACUAGCCACAAAGAAAAUAUAGAAAUUCCAUCUUCAUAGAUUGGAGUUUAUUCACUGUUUUGAUGUUGAGCAUUGAACACUACUAAAACGAAUUAAAAACUUGACUGAUGUGUCUGAAAAACUGUGACUGAAAAAUCAUAAAAAAAACCAACAAUUUCACAUUAAACUCCGAGAGUUUUACUCACUUCAAGGCGAACAAUUCAGUUGGGUCAAUAAAUAUCAAACUUUAGCUCGACAAAAUUAUAGCCUAUAGGAAGGAAAAUAAAAUAAAAGUAUAUUUAUUACAUAUUUUUUGACGGAAGUCCCAAAUAGUCAGCAACAUCUCUGUAUUAUGUCGCCAAAUUAUUUUCUCGAAAAUUCGCCUUCAGCGGAAAUGAAGCCAGUUGAAGAAAAUACAUCGCUGGUUCUACACGCAAGAAAAGUUAUUCUGUCUCUAUCUCUAUAAAUGCAUUCCGCAAAUACUUCUUUCGCAAACAAAAUUAAUGGUUCAAUCGUUUUAACACUCGGAAACCGAAGCAAACUGGGAUCCGGAUACGUUCUUAAAGGAAGGAUAUGUAAGAAAAGCCGGGCUCAAGAGUUAGAACAGAACAAUCAGAUGCAGCCGAUUACAGGAAUCAUGUUUUAUUUAACCAUAACCGAUUCUUUCCAAGCCUGGUAUAUUUCUAUUUUACCUUUCGCAAUCGAAGUCGUUGGUUCGUGCGCCGUUGUUUCUACGACUUGGAAUUCUUUUUACAGCUGCUAACACUGAGGAACAUGCCACGUGUUAAAUAAGCCUGAAACAUUUACAAUGUGCAGAUAACAUGAGACGCUGUAAAAAAGGAAAUCAAUUUCUCGCAAAACACAAUUUAGAAUUGUAAUAACAAAAAUGAAGCUGCGCGGCUGAACAGGUUGCUGAGACGGCUUGUGUGUACAAUCUGUUGGAGAAAUUAAUAGUUCGUAUGUAUGUCUAUCACGACUGUCAGUUACCAUGCGUGCCGUCUAUCUUUGUAAGAAGCAACUGCAUUGGCGUUCGUUAUCUAAGCUGACAGGAACAUAUCACACAAGAGCGCCCAACGCACCAAAAACUUCAAAGCACGGAGAUAUAGGAGCCAAGCGGCAAAUUACAUAAAGAAUUAGCAAUAAAUACAGAGUCCACACAUGGUUGGCUCUAUUCAAUAGCAACAAUCCCCGAUCAGCAUAGCAAUCAAACGUCAUGGAAGUUUGACCAUAACGAGAGCGAGGACUGCACCAUUUAAACCCUAAAAUAAUAAAGAAGAUUGGCAAUAAAAAUGUAACUGUGUAAAUGUCCAACUUAAAAUAUAAAUGUGAGCUUCAAAUCACCAAAGCUACCACAGCUCGCUUGAAAUUCAAA
Molecule: long non-coding RNA, 1559 nt
Organism: Bactrocera oleae (olive fruit fly)
Lineage: Eukaryota; Metazoa; Arthropoda; Insecta; Diptera; Tephritidae
Source: RefSeq, a predicted model, not a curated record